CCGUACACAAAAGCGCAUGUGCUGUGAGCUCGAUGAGUAGGGCGGGACACGUGGUAUCCUGUCUGAAUAUGGGGGGACCAUCCUCCAAGGCUAAAUACUCCUGACUGACCGAUAGUGAACCAGUACCGUGAGGGAAAGGCGAAAAGAACCCCGGCGAGGGGAGUGAAAAAGAACCUGAAACCGUGUACGUACAAGCAGUGGGAGCACAGGUUUACCUGUGUGACUGCGUACCUUUUGUAUAAUGGGUCAGCGACUUAUAUUCUGUAGCAAGGUUAACCGUAUAGGGGAGCCGGAGGGAAACCGAGUCUUAAUUGGGCGUUAAGUUGCAGGGUAUAGACCCGAAACCCGGUGAUCUAGCCAUGGGCAGGUUGAAGGUUGGGUAACACUAACUGGAGGACCGAACCGACUAAUGUUGAAAAAUUAGCGGAUGACCUGUGGCUGGGGGUGAAAGGCCAAUCAAACCGGGAGAUAGCUGGUUCUCCCCGAAAGCUAUUUAGGUAGCGCCUCGUGAAUUCAUCUCCGGGGGUAGAGCACUGUUUCGGCUAGGGGGCCAUCCCGGCUUACCAACCCGAUGCAAACUGCGAAUACCGGAGAAUGUUAUCACGGGAGACACACGGCGGGUGCUAACGUCCGUCGUGAAGAGGGAAACAACCCAGACCGCCAGCUAAGGUCCCAAAGUCAUGGUUAAGUGGGAAACGAUGUGGGAAGGCCCAGACAGCCAGGAUGUUGGCUUAGAAGCAGCCAUCAUUUAAAGAAAGCGUAAUAGCUCACUGGUCGAGUCGGCCUGCGCGGAAGAUGUAACGGGGCUAAACCAUGCACCGAAGCUGCGGCAGCGAACGUAUCACCCAAGACAACUUUACGGAGUUGACGAUUGACGGAGCGAAGCGACGUCAAAGCGUUCAUUAAAGUCGAGUUGGCUUAGGGAUACGUUCGUUGGGUAGGGGAGCGUUCUGUAAGCCUGUGAAGGUGUGUCGUGAGGCAUGCUGGAGGUAUCAGAAGUGCGAAUGCUGACAUAAGUAACGAUAAAGCGGGUGAAAAGCCCGCUCGCCGGAAGACCAAGGGUUCCUGUCCAACGUUAAUCGGGGCAGGGUGAGUCGACCCCUAAGGCGAGGCCGAAAGGCGUAGUCGAUGGGAAACGGGUUAAUAUUCCCGUACUUGGUGUUACUGCGAAGGGGGGACGGAGAAGGCUAUGUUGGCCGGGCGACGGUUGUCCCGGUUUAAGCGUGUAGGUGUGUGUUCCAGGUAAAUCCGGUUCACUUUAACACUGAGGCGUGACGACGAGGCACUACGGUGCUGAAGCAACAAAUGCCCUGCUUCCAGGAAAAGCCUCUAAGCAUCAGGUAACAUCAAAUCGUACCCCAAACCGACACAGGUGGUCAGGUAGAGAAUACCAAGGCGCUUGAGAGAACUCGGGUGAAGGAACUAGGCAAAAUGGUGCCGUAACUUCGGGAGAAGGCACGCUGACACGUAGGUGAAGUGAUUUACUCAUGGAGCUGAAGUCAGUCGAAGAUACCAGCUGGCUGCAACUGUUUAUUAAAAACACAGCACUGUGCAAACACGAAAGUGGACGUAUACGGUGUGACGCCUGCCCGGUGCCGGAAGGUUAAUUGAUGGGGUCAGCGCAAGCGAAGCUCCUGAUCGAAGCCCCGGUAAACGGCGGCCGUAACUAUAACGGUCCUAAGGUAGCGAAAUUCCUUGUCGGGUAAGUUCCGACCUGCACGAAUGGCGUAAUGAUGGCCAGGCUGUCUCCACCCGAGACUCAGUGAAAUUGAACUCGCUGUGAAGAUGCAGUGUACCCGCGGCAAGACGGAAAGACCCCGUGAACCUUUACUAUAGCUUGACACUGAACAUUGAGCCUUGAUGUGUAGGAUAGGUGGGAGGCUUUGAAGUGUGGACGCCAGUCUGCAUGGAGCCGACCUUGAAAUACCACCCUUUAAUGUUUGAUGUUCUAACGUGGACCCGUAAUCCGGGUUGCGGACAGUGUCUGGUGGGUAGUUUGACUGGGGCGGUCUCCUCCUAAAGAGUAACGGAGGAGCACGAAGGUUGGCUAAUCCUGGUCGGACAUCAGGAGGUUAGUGCAAUGGCAUAAGCCAGCUUGACUGCGAGCGUGACGGCGCGAGCAGGUGCGAAAG
This 2132-nucleotide ribosomal RNA is filed under the name Salmonella enterica subsp. enterica. RNAcentral's name for it is "partial 23S ribosomal RNA". It matches the Rfam family "Bacterial large subunit ribosomal RNA", at positions 373 to 2405 of the family's 2925-position model. RNAcentral also lists the same sequence under 1 other name. The record is from RNAcentral. Lineage: Bacteria; Pseudomonadati; Pseudomonadota; Gammaproteobacteria; Enterobacterales; Enterobacteriaceae.